UACAGAGGUCUCAAGCGUUGUUCGGAUUCAUUGGGCGUAAAGGGUGCGUAGGUGGUGCUGUAAGUCAGGUGUGAAAUCUCGGGGCUCAACCCCGAAACUGCACUUGAUACUGCAGUGCUCGAGGACUGGAGAGGAGAUUGGAAUUCAUGGUGUAGCAGUGAAAUGCGUAGAUAUCAUGAGGAAGACCAGUGGCGAAGGCGGAUCUCUGGGCAGUUCCUGACGCUGAGACGCGAAAGCGUGGGGAGCAAACAGG
Molecule: ribosomal RNA, 253 nt
Filed under: uncultured bacterium
Lineage: Bacteria
Description: partial 16S ribosomal RNA
Rfam family: Bacterial small subunit ribosomal RNA
Source: RNAcentral